This 4598-nucleotide long non-coding RNA is filed under the name Olea europaea subsp. europaea. Lineage: Eukaryota; Viridiplantae; Streptophyta; Magnoliopsida; Lamiales; Oleaceae. The record is from RNAcentral.
AUUUGUCGUUGGUUGUUGUGUUGGCUGUUGGAGUGUUGCAGUGUUGGGCCACUUUUUUUUUUUUUUUUUAAAUCAGGCCCAAAUUAAAAGGCCCAAAUCAGCAUUCAUCCAUUAUAGACCAUAAGGUCUCUUCCAGUCCACUACAAGUACAGCAGAAGGUAGACUGGCAGAGGCAAUGGAGUCUCUAACGACCAGCAACACUUUCCUCGAAUUAGUCCCAUUUCCGAUUUCCUUCCUGUCAAUUAAACCGAUUGCCAGAGAGAUCAGAGAAGAGCAAACCCUUCGUGAGUUCUUCCCAAUUCCUUCCCAUUAUUUACAUGUUUUUUCCCCCAAUUCCUUCCCCCAAAUCACCAUUCAUUCACCCAUUAUUUACAUGUUUUUUUCCUGGCAUAUUUAUUGUUUAAUUAUUGUUUUUUUUUGAGUAGUUUAUUAUGCUCUAUGUUUGAUUUUUAGGAUUUUGAAUUGCUUCGGCUUCGAUUCGAGGCUUAUUGUUUGGGGAUUUUGUUACAAAUUAUUGAAAGUUUUGUAAUGCCAAAGUGAUCCGGUGCUUAUUAUCAACUCAAAUGACUUUUGAAGCCUUAAAGUGAGUUUCAAUUGAAGAUGAAAGUAGAUCAAAGUUUAAUUAUCUAUUUUAUUUCUACGUUCUUUAUUACUUUUGGAGCAGAAGUUUUGAAAAAUCUGGUUAACUUAGCCUAAUCGAGUGUUGUUUCUGGCAUAAGAGCAUAUCUUAUUACAUGCCACUAGGUCAAACAUUUGAAAAGUACUUGUGAGCCAGUGAAAAGGAGAACAUGUUAAGAUGGAAAAUCUUUUUGCAUGAUAGUAUGAACUUAAACUUCUUGAAUUUGGCAGUGGAAUGAAUACAUGUUAUUUAUUAUAAGAGUAUAUCUAUUUAAUGUGUCUUUGAGGAUUUUUAUCAAAAUGGGGUGGUCAAUGCUGCAACUAAUUCUACUUGCUUGACUUUUUUUCUUUGUAUGUCUAUCAUUUGAUUCAUUUCUUUCGAAUGAGUUUCGAUGGUUGAUCAUAUCUUGACUUUCUAAUUCAAAUUUCACGUGUAAAUCUCUAGCAUCUUAAAAUGUUAAAUGGGCUAGCCUUAAAUGGCUUUUCAACGAUUGGCCGCCGACCGAAUCGGGCUUUUAAGAUCGUUGAUUGUCGACGGUCAAUGGUCAAAGUCAACAUCCGCCCUAACUGAACAUUGAUACUAGAUUCGCCCCUGAUUGUAUCCUUCAAAACUUGUAAUAUAAGUGCAUAAUUAGCACCCACUAUUAGAUACGACUUGUAUGAUUUAAAAGCAUAAUUAACAAUAAUCUAACUUCAUUUUCUCUAAACUACCAUCAACAUGCCAAAAUGUGUCCAACCUAAUAAACGCUACUGGUGGUGAUAGCCAUAUAACCACAGAUAAUUCUUAUUGGUUUUGCAGCCUUCACCUUCCAAAUCCAAAAAAAAAAAGGAGUUAAAAAUGCAGCAAUACUUUAAUUGCAGUAAAAGAGUUUGUUUCUCCCAUGCAAUGAAAGACUCCAAUUCCAGGAAGUUCUAACUAAUCAGGAGGGAGAGAGGCUACAUCUUUCUCUUUUUGCCACACACAAUAAAACGUCUUUUCCCAAUAAAUUUGGACAAUUAACCUUCCUCUUGUGCCAUAAUUGAUCAAAUUUGAAACAGAUUAUCAUAAGCAAAUUAAUGUUACAUAUGUUUGCGGUCAUUUAACAUUACAAUUUGAUGCAGUCAUAUGAUGAAUGUAAUUAUCGAAAAAUAACUCUCCUUCUGCAUCAUUCAUGAUAUUCUUUUUGGUCUUCAUCGUAUUUUACCAAAGUAAAAUUUAAUCAAUGCCAUUCACGGGCAAGAUUGUCUUGAUCUUCUAGUGAAGAUAACUGCUAGAAUUGGGUUUCUAGUUGCCCAAAAUCAUUUUGCAGAGGCAAUCCAGAAUUAGCUUAUUUGUUGUCUUAAUCUUUCCGGGGACACAACAACCUUAAGUUAUCUCAAAUGUUAUUUCAUUCAUCGAAUUGUAUAGUUGUUAGUUGCAUAAUGACAAUCCUCAUGUUGUUUAAUCAUUCAAUAGUAAUAUUAUAGAACUCAUGCCGUCUCUCUUAAAUUUUGAAGUAAUAUUUAUAUUCCACAUUAAAUAGAUUAUAUGGAAGUUCAAGGAGACCUCCAAACUACCAUUACAUUUUCAGUUGAUUAAUUCUCACUGCACUAUGGAAAAUCGAGGCUCAACACUUGCAUUUUACGGUACUAGUAGUAUAAAGACAUGCAAAACAGAUCCUAAGCAAUAACAAAGAGCGGUUAAGAGCUCCUCUAGCUGACGAUGCAUAACACAGGUCUUUGGGAACUUAAAGAAGAAUUUGUCGCAGAAUAUAUCUAACUAAGCAUUUUAGCUCUGGAGGCCCACAACUAGAGGAACGAUACAAGUAUCCACCGACAAAUCAUGUAUGGGAUCUUUGCGUACCAAAUGACCAAGUGAAUGGUAAGUCAAGAAAGCCGCACGAAGGGUGCCAUCAGGUAUUCUAUAAAUGGGACACCAUGCCACUGAGUACCUGAAAGUAGACUGUCAAUGCUCAAAACCAAUAUAUGUUCAUAUCAAACUAACUUUACAAGGUUGUAUAACUUUAUUAUUUUGGAUUAGUCUCUACAUUUACUGACCACGAACUUUAGAGAAGAUCCUGUAGACUUACCCGCUCUAGAACAGUGGGAUCUCCAUGUGCUCUGCAUUUCGAACGUCCUUCACCUCGAACAAGCUCCUUUAUCCUGAAACACAGGAAUCGGGAAAAGAAUUAAUUCCAUUCAUUGUUUGUGAAACUAGUUUUCUGUAUGUUGACCGUAGAUCGCUGAAUUUUUUAGAAGUACCGAUCCGUUUAAGCCCCACAGAUCUCUAAAGACUUCAAAAAUGCUCAUAGACUGAUCAUUCUGCCUCAUUUUCCGAGGUACAAAUGCAAACGUAACACGGAUACGUAAGUCAUCUAAUUGAAUAGCUCUGUCAAGGAAAUGCAACUGUGUGCUCAUGCAGUUCUCUACUGGUUAAAUCAGUGAAUGCCAGCCAUAGCAACGUAUUUACACGUGUAGAUUUUGGUAAUUUAUAUACAAAUAAAAAAAAAAUGUAUCUCAGUAUGAUAUAAUGUCUGCCGUAAGAUCAAAUGACAAAUAUAAAGAGGUAAGGUAAAAAAUUAAAUUUACAUUUUGUUAAUGGAUUGAUUCCUAAAUUACAUUACAAUCCCUAGGCUUAUGCUUGAACUCAAUCCCCUUACCACAAAGUUUUCAAACGCAUGAAGGAAACUUUAACCUUGAGUAUAGAGUUGAAUAGUAGAAUGGAAUAAAACAAAAUUGUUAGGAACCAGAAGACAGACGUAUAUCAUGAAAGGGAUCUUAAUAAAAUCAGCACUGGGGCUUCCUAAUAUUAAUUUCACAGUAAAAUAAGGUCCGAGGAUUCAAGAUCAUUGAAGCAGGAGUGAAAGAAUUUAUAAGUUCUAUUCAUUAUUCGUGGCAUUCUCAUAUCUCUAAUGCUGAAAAUUGAAAGCCCAUUUUUCCCAUCUUUUCGUUUCGUUGACAUUUUAGGCACUAAAGUUCAACAGCCCAACAUAAAUGUAAAUGCCAUAAGGAGCAGCUUAAACAGGUCAGAAUGAUGUAAUAUCUCUCUUCAUUCUCUUACUCAUGGUAUUCUCAUGUCUCUAAUGAUUUUUGUUGGUGAAUAUGACAGGGUUGUAAUGGCCUCUUUAUUUAUUUAUUAUUUAUUAUUUUUUGUCAAUGGAAUAGAAGGAAAGAAUACAAAGCACAAUCUUUAUAUUUAGUAGGUUAUCAUUAAUAAAUAUUGUAAUUAAUAGUUACCAUAUUUAAUUUGAUUUUGGUUCUAUAUAGUGAGAGAAAUUCUCGCGUCGAGAGGCUUCGAGUCUUAUCCAAUAUUAUUCAAUAUAUUUGACAUGAUCAGAGCUAUCUUGAUCCUAAACAAAUUUAUCUUUGAAUUUCGUUUCCUGUGAGUACCUUGUGCUACUCGCCUUGUCAAUUUUUAUUUUUUUAGCUACCAAUUUCUACUUGCAGUCACAGAAUAUUCAACACGAGAUAUAUGAAAUAGCCAUUAGAGAGGUUUAAGGUUCAGACAAGAAGUACAAGAACAAUAUGAAACUCUCUCCUUAAUCUCCUCGCACAAUCCCAAAAUCCCAAUAUGAGCCAAUUCAGCCACCACAACCUCUUCGUCCACACAUCCAUUCUCCUCCUACUCAUCCUCAUAUACCCUAGCACCUCCAACAUAACCUCCGACCGCACAGCUCUCUUAGCCCUUCGCACUUCCAUGGGGGGCUGCGUCCUUCUCUAAAACUUUUCCAGCCCCACCCCAUGCUCAUGGGCUGGCAUCACUUGCUCCUCUGAAAAUUCUUCAGUUAUAGAUCUUCGCCUCCCUGGAAUGGACCUUUCCAAUGAAUAUCUGGUUUUGUGGUGGGCGAUGCUGGGGAAGGCAGUGUGACGAUUGGCGAGUAGGUUUUGUUGGCGAAGUUGGUGAAUUUAUGCAGGUAUGAAGGAGAUGUCGUCGGCACUGGAUGCGUUGGCAGCGAAACGCAGGUUUGGUUUGUGUUGGUAUAAACGGGAAUUGGGCAGUUUUUGUGGAUUUUGUAUAUGGG